UACGGGGGGUGCGAGCGUUGUCCGGAAUUAUUGGGCGUAAAGAGCUCGUAGGCGGCCUGUUGCGUCCGCUGUGAAAUCCCGGGGCUCAACCCCGGUCCUGCAGUGGAUACGGGCUGGCUAGAGGCAGGCAGGGGAGAACGGAAUUCCUGGUGUAGCGGUGAAAUGCGCAGAUAUCGGGAGGAACACCAAUGGCGAAGGCAGCUUGCUGGGACGGUACUGACGCUGAGGCGCGAAAGCGUGGGGAGCAAACAGG
This 253-nucleotide ribosomal RNA is filed under the name uncultured bacterium. RNAcentral describes it as "partial 16S ribosomal RNA". It matches the Rfam family "Bacterial small subunit ribosomal RNA", at positions 524 to 776 of the family's 1533-position model. The record is from RNAcentral.